This 674-nucleotide ribosomal RNA is filed under the name uncultured Actinomycetales bacterium. RNAcentral's name for it is "bacterial SSU rRNA". It matches the Rfam family "Bacterial small subunit ribosomal RNA", at positions 89 to 777 of the family's 1533-position model. The record is from RNAcentral. Lineage: Bacteria; Bacillati; Actinomycetota; Actinomycetes; Actinomycetales.
ACUCGAGUGGCGAACGGGUGAGUAACACGUGGGUGAUCUGCCCUGCACUUCGGGAUAAGCCUGGGAAACUGGGUCUAAUGCCGGAUAGGAGCCAUUUUUAGUGUGAUGGUUGGAAAGUUUUUUCGGUGUAGGAUGAGCUCGCGGCCUAUCAGCUUGUUGGUGGGGUAAUGGCCUACCAAGGCGGCGACGGGUAGCCGGCCUGAGAGGGUGGACGGCCACAUUGGGACUGAGAUACGGCCCAGACUCCUACGGGAGGCAGCAGUGGGGAAUAUUGCACGAUGGGCGCAAGCCUGAUGCAGCGACGCCGCGUGGGGGAUGACGGCCUUCGGGUUGUAAACUCCUUUCGCUAGGGACGAAGCUUUUUGUGACGGUACCUAGAUAAGAAGCACCGGCUAACUACGUGCCAGCAGCCGCGGUAAUACGUAGGGUGCGAGCGUUGUCCGGAAUUACUGGGCGUAAAGGGCUCGUAGGUGGUUUGUCGCGUCGUCUGUGAAAUUCCGGGGCUUAACUCCGGGCGUGCAGGCGAUACGGGCAUAACUUGAGUACUGUAGGGGUAACUGGAAUUCCUGGUGUAGCGGUGAAAUGCGCAGAUAUCAGGAGGAACACCGAUGGCGAAGGCAGGUUACUGGGCAGUUACUGACGCUGAGGAGCGAAAGCAUGGGUAGCGAACAGGA